CUGCGGCAGCGAACGUAUCACCCAAGACAACUUUACGGAGUUGACGAUUGACGGAGCGAAGCGACGUCAAAGCGUUCAUUAAAGUCGAGUUGGCUUAGGGAUACGUUCGUUGGGUAGGGGAGCGUUCUGUAAGCCUGUGAAGGUGGCCUGUGAGGGUUGCUGGAGGUAUCAGAAGUGCGAAUGCUGACAUAAGUAACGAUAAAGCGGGUGAAAAGCCCGCUCGCCGGAAGACCAAGGGUUCCUGUCCAACGUUAAUCGGGGCAGGGUGAGUCGACCCCUAAGGCGAGGCCGAAAGGCGUAGUCGAUGGGAAACGGGUUAAUAUUCCCGUACUUGGUGUUACUGCGAAGGGGGGACGGAGAAGGCUAUGUUGGCCGGGCGACGGUUGUCCCGGUUUAAGCGUGUAGGUGUGUGUUCCAGGUAAAUCCGGUUCACUUUAACACUGAGGCGUGAUGACGAGGCACUACGGUGCUGAAGCAACAAAUGCCCUGCUUCCAGGAAAAGCCUCUAAGCAUCAGGUAACAUCAAAUCGUACCCCAAACCGACACAGGUGGUCAGGUAGAGAAUACCAAGGCGCUUGAGAGAACUCGGGUGAAGGAACUAGGCAAAAUGGUGCCGUAACUUCGGGAGAAGGCACGCUGACACGUAGGUGAAGUGAUUUACUCAUGGAGCUGAAGUCAGUCGAAGAUACCAGCUGGCUGCAACUGUUUAUUAAAAACACAGCACUGUGCAAACACGAAAGUGGACGUAUACGGUGUGACGCCUGCCCGGUGCCGGAAGGUUAAUUGAUGGGGUCAGCGCAAGCGAAGCUCCUGAUCGAAGCCCCGGUAAACGGCGGCCGUAACUAUAACGGUCCUAAGGUAGCGAAAUUCCUUGUCGGGUAAGUUCCGACCUGCACGAAUGGCGUAAUGAUGGCCAGGCUGUCUCCACCCGAGACUCAGUGAAAUUGAACUCGCUGUGAAGAUGCAGUGUACCCGCGGCAAGACGGAAAGACCCCGUGAACCUUUACUAUAGCUUGACACUGAACAUUGAGCCUUGAUGUGUAGGAUAGGUGGGAGGCUUUGAAGUGUGGACGCCAGUCUGCAUGGAGCCGACCUUGAAAUACCACCCUUUAAUGUUU
This 1118-nucleotide ribosomal RNA is filed under the name Salmonella enterica. RNAcentral describes it as "partial 23S ribosomal RNA". It matches the Rfam family "Bacterial large subunit ribosomal RNA", at positions 1200 to 2215 of the family's 2925-position model. The record is from RNAcentral. Lineage: Bacteria; Pseudomonadati; Pseudomonadota; Gammaproteobacteria; Enterobacterales; Enterobacteriaceae.